This is a long non-coding RNA of Acanthaster planci (crown-of-thorns starfish), 449 nucleotides long. The record is from RefSeq and is a predicted model, not a curated record. NCBI's taxonomy places the organism in Eukaryota, Metazoa, Echinodermata, Asteroidea, Valvatida, Acanthasteridae.
CAUAUAGGGGAGGCUAAAUUAACGCCCCCCCCCCCCGAUAACAAAGGAUGCACAUGUACCUGUUGCAUUGCUUAUUAAUUAAUUAAUUAAUUAAGUUUAAUUGUUUACGCAGAAGGAAUUAACCAAAACAAGCCCGCAGCAUCACAAAAUGCUACUCACUCGGGAGCAGGAAAUCGAAGUGCUGGACGAAUUCAGCCUUCUUUGGGCAAAAGAAAAAAGCCUGUCAGGCAAGAAACGGACCAUGAAAAAUCUUGUCAGUCAACUGUUCGACGAAAAACCAGAGCUGAUGCAUGGCUUAGAGUUUCAGCAGAUUUUUGAUACGCUGCGCAGGCUGGUGGCAGAUCAGUACCCCGAUGCCGACGAUUAAAGGCAAAGUGCAUCUUGUUUUGUGUGAAGUCCAGAUGCUAUCCAUGCCUGUGCAGUCCCUGCAGCACCUUCGUAGAGAGGAC